CCUACGGGAGGCAGCAGUGGGGGAUAUUGCACAAUGGGCGAAAGCCUGAUGCAGCGACGCCGCGUGAGGGAAGACGGUCUUCGGAUUGUAAACCUCUGUCUUUGGGGAAGAAAAUGAAGGUACCCAAAGAGGAAGCUCCGGCCAACUACGUGCAAGCAGCCGCGGUACUACGUAGGGAGCAAGCGUUGUCCGGAAUUACUGGGUGUAAAGGGAGCGUCGGCGGGAUGGCAGGUAGAAUGUUAAAUCCAUCGGCUAAACCGGUGGCUGAGUUCGACACUGGCGUUCUUGAGUGAAGUAGAGGCAGGCGGAAUUCCUGGUGUAGCGGUGAAAUGCGUAGAUAUUAGGAGGAACACCAGUGGCGAAGGCGGCCUGCUGGGCUUUAACUGACGCUGAGGCUCGAAAGCGUGGGGAGCAAACAGGAUUAGAUACCCGGGUAGUC
This 439-nucleotide ribosomal RNA is filed under the name uncultured bacterium. Its description in RNAcentral is "partial 16S ribosomal RNA". It matches the Rfam family "Bacterial small subunit ribosomal RNA", at positions 338 to 795 of the family's 1533-position model. The record is from RNAcentral.